This 460-nucleotide ribosomal RNA is filed under the name uncultured bacterium. Its description in RNAcentral is "partial 16S ribosomal RNA". It matches the Rfam family "Bacterial small subunit ribosomal RNA", at positions 338 to 795 of the family's 1533-position model. The record is from RNAcentral.
CCUACGGGUGGCAGCAGUGAGGAAUAUUGGUCAAUGGUCGGGAGACUGAACCAGCCAAGCCGCGUGAGGGAGGAAGGUACAGAGUAUCGUAAACCUCUUUUGUCAGGGAACAACGACUGGGACGCGUCCCCGGAUGAGUGUACCUGAAGAAAAAGCAUCGGCUACCUCCGUGCCAGCAGCCGCGGUAAUACGGAGGAUGCGAGCGUUAUCCGGCUUUAUUGGGUUUAAAGGGUGCGCAGGCGGGCUGUUUAGUCAGCCGGGAAAGGCCGGGGGUCAACCCCGGCCCGCCGGUUGAAACUGGCAGUCUCGAGUAGGAGAGAAGUAUGCGGAAUGCGCGGGGUAGCGGUGAAAUGCAUAGAUAGCGCGCAGAACUCCGAUUGCGAAGGCAGCAUGCCGGCUCCACACUGACGCUGAGGCACGAAAGCGUGGGUAUCGAACAGGAUUAGAUACCCGGGUAGUC